GACGAAUGUUCAGCAAUUCACCCCUGGUGAAACUGAUCGUGUUUGAAAAAAAAAAAAAAAAAAAAAACAGGAAAAACUAACAAAAACACUAAAACAUACUGCAUGCAUGAACUAAUUCUCGCCGGGAUAGAAAGUUAAAAGUUUAAAGAUAAAAUUUUAAACUUAUGACCUUAAUAUAUGCAAUACACAACAAAAUAAUAAUCCUCCUUUAGGAUUCAUUGAAUUUACUCUUUUUUUUUUAAGGUAAGUGGUUGCAAUCAAUUUAUUUUAGCUAGAUUUAAAUAAAUACAUUUCAUUGAACAACUUUCAAAAUUGUUAAACAAAUUGUUUGCAACCACUUACCUUAAAAAAAAAAAAUUCUGAAGGAGAGAUCAUAAAUGGCUUUGCAAAUACACACAGUAAAUUCCUGCUAUGCUUGGACACGAUCUACACAAAAAUCAUAUGCCACACAGUCAGCUUUGUUGAGACUGAAGAAGUGGAGAUUAUGCCUGCAAUCUGGCUGAAGAAUGGCUUAAGCCUAGUCCCAGACAACAAGUGUUUGAGGCAACCCCUGGAGUCUUUGCCUGCAUAUAAAGUUAAACAUAAAACAAGCACCUACUGGAUGAAUGAGACACUGAUAAGGAGGCCACCACAGCCCUAAAAACACUGCCACAAGCGGCUCAAAUACAACCACGAUCCAAACCGAUUUGUUUAACUUCUAACCGAGUCCUCCAACCUAUUGUAAAGGCUGUAAGAAGAAGUCCUGUAUGUGCACACAACUGAGCUGGAGGUCGAAAAAGUUUCAUCUAGCUGGUGACCGUGAGAGUGGCAGAAAGAGAAGAAUGACUUCACAAGAUGUUAAUGUAAACCAAACAAGUUAUUGUUAAGUGAAUCUUUUACUUUUUUUAAUUCAACCAGAUAAGGCCCACAACCAAUUUUCUAUCUGAGGUGCAAUGAAGCCCGUCGGGAUUGUCUCUAGCGUGCACACGUGCCAUUUGUUGGAAAAAGCUAAGCUCAGAUUUUAAAAUAGAGAGUGCAUUUUCAAUACUCACGUGACAAGCACAUAUGCGAAUGACGUCAGAAGGCUAUAAUCGAUUAUGGUCUAUUACUGCAUCAAUGCAGAAUCGUCCACGUUCGCAUCACGAUGCAUCGAUUAAUUUAGGCACCCCUAGUCAUUAUGCAGUAUUUCAUAAUACUGAAUAAACCAUGUUCAUGUAUUGAACA
Long non-coding RNA from Cyprinus carpio (common carp), 1203 nucleotides. NCBI's taxonomy places the organism in Eukaryota, Metazoa, Chordata, Actinopteri, Cypriniformes, Cyprinidae. The record is from Ensembl.